UACGUAGGGGGCUAGCGUUGUCCGGAAUUAUUGGGCGUAAAGAGCUCGUAGGCGGUCUGUUGCGUCGGCUGUGAAAACCCGAGGCUCAACCUCGGGCCUGCAGCCGAUACGGGCAGACUAGAGUUCGGCAGGGGAGACUGGAAUUCCUGGUGUAGCGGUGAAAUGUGCAGAUAUCAGGAGGAACACCGGUGGCGAAGGCGGGUCUCUGGGCCGAUACUGACGCUGAGGAGCGAAAGCGUGGGGAGCGAACAGG
This 253-nucleotide ribosomal RNA is filed under the name uncultured bacterium. RNAcentral's name for it is "partial 16S ribosomal RNA". It matches the Rfam family "Bacterial small subunit ribosomal RNA", at positions 524 to 776 of the family's 1533-position model. The record is from RNAcentral.